RNAcentral lists this long non-coding RNA (400 nucleotides) under Aquilegia coerulea. RNAcentral describes it as "long non-coding RNA (ACOE_LNC001071)". Lineage: Eukaryota; Viridiplantae; Streptophyta; Magnoliopsida; Ranunculales; Ranunculaceae. The record is from RNAcentral.
AAGAUCAACUUAUGAUUUCUUUUUAUAUUUUAUGGUUGAACAGGGUUAUGAACCAAUGUUUGGAACAUCUUCAAGUGCACAUCAGGUUAAGUAUCAAUAUAACAUGAUUGUUGUAAUCGAGACUUAUCUGAUUUUUAAAUAAUUUGAGUAAUUGUUAUUUUGUUUUCAAUUAGGUGCAUUCCACAAAUAAAAAUCCCUUAGUUGUGAAGUGCAAACUGUUUCGUAUGGACGAAGAAGACAUUGUAGCUGAAGGUGUUUGGCUGUCAGAUAAUCCAGAUAUGGAAGCGCAGGGGAUUAAACUUGGGUCAGGUGCAUCUAAGGUUGUGGUGGAACAUGUUAUCGAAUCUACAGCAAGAUUAUGGAAACCUUGCAAUGGUAUGAAAAUAUUGGAAGAUGCUAU